Marmota monax (woodchuck) is the source of this 8482-nucleotide RNA transcript. It is a transcript of the gene named vomeronasal type-1 receptor 90-like, with no coding region annotated. The transcript has 2 exons. Lineage: Eukaryota; Metazoa; Chordata; Mammalia; Rodentia; Sciuridae. The record is from RefSeq and is a predicted model, not a curated record.
CUCCGCCGGCCGCAGUUCCCCCCUCACACGGGAGGCCGCGGAGGGAGGCUGAGGACCCGCUGCGCAGCCUCCUUGUCCCUCCUCAGGGUCGUGGUGGACUCUCCGUCUGUCCAGCAUGUACCUUUCACCCGGGAAAGGAGUUACUGCGAUGCUGAAUGUCUUUGGAACGCAGAGCAGCACAAAGUGGUGCCUAACAGCAUCCGCAUGGAGAACACCUCUCCUGGGAGAGGCUGAGAUCAGAAGUGAGCUUCUCAAAGCCAAUCUUCACAUCACUGGGACAAAUCAGCUCUGAUGUUUCAAAGCUCACCAAAUGACCCUGCGCCACAUUUAGAGUCUUAUCCCUUACUUUAUAGUUUCAGAAAGAAUGUUUUCCACAACUGAGUUGAUAAUUAAAAACCCUUUUAUGAGGAUAAAAUAUAUGUAACAUAAACAUUCUGACCAUUUUUCAGCCUACAGUCAAGUGGCCUGGAAUCUAUUCACAUUAUUGCACGACGGUCACCACCACCCAUGACAGCACUCACUUCCUAACUGAAUAGAGGUUCUCAACAUACCAAGGGACAACUCCCCGCUGCCUCCUGUCUUGGUCUCUGGACGCCCUUGUGUUCCUGCUCUGUCACUCUGCCCACUCCAACUCCCACCGUCUUUAAGUAUAUUUAUACAAUGUUUGUUGUUUUGCGACUAAACCGGCUUCACUGAGUAGAGUAACUUGCGGACUCAGUUAGGCGGCCCUGUGAUCCAGAAUAUUCUUCCAUUUUAAAAGUUGAUGAUAUUCCAGAGUCUACAGAGGCCAUCACGUAUUGUUUACAUAUUCUUAUGAUUGCAGGUGUUGUUUCUAUGUUGGAAUGUUUAAAGCAUGGUUUUAAGAGCAAUGAUGUGGAGAAGGCUGUUUGACUCCCUGCAUGUUGAACGUGUGUGUGUGAGAGUGUGUCUUGUGUGUGUGUUGGAUCAUGUGAUAUUUCAUGGUAGAAUAUGUUUACAAGUGUAGUUUGGAAAAAUACAGAUAAUGGAGACGAUGCAAUAUUUGAGAACAUUGUGACUGUUGUAUCUAAAAAGACUUUGCAAUAACCCAGGUUAUGACAAGUGACAUCCAACUCACAGGCCCCUAUUAAGGAUCCGGUGAGAAACAUGACAUCCCCAUAAUAUUUCACAGAGUCCCAUGGUUUGGCUUUCUUUGAUGUACUUGCAUCCACACAUGUCCAACUGGAUAGUUCAACAGAGGGAGUGAGACUUUGCAUUGCAUUUAAACCAAAGACUCUAAACACUCUGUCAUGAUAAAUCACUCCAAAUUCAGCACAGUUUCUCGCCUUAACAGAACUUAUCCACCACGGGCUACUGAAAUGUUUACUGUCUUCUCCCACUAUAUCUGAAAAUACUAAUUAUACGUUUUUCAGUACAAAUAAACACCAAAGGGCUGAACGAGGCAUAGCUAUGGGUCACGAGGAUCUGGAUACAGUAAAAUAUUGGAUCAUCCUUCAGUGUGAUUCUUGCAUAGGAGACAAUGCUGUCCAAGAUGGACAUGACCACGAAGCAACUCAUGAGCAGCAGGAUUGUCUGGGUGGCCCUCAGUUCUGGGGAUAACACUGGAGACAGGCUGGUGCUAUGGAGAUGCCGGGACUGCCUCUUGUGCCUGCACAGGAGAGCCACCAUGUAUCCACUGGAGACGGCCAUGAUUCCUAUAAAGGAGACUUCCCUGAAGGUCAGCAGGGUGGACAAGCUAUGCCGGAGGAAGAAGGUCAUGGGAAUGAAGGAGCAGGAUUCUGUAACGUACAUAAAGUUGUCUGAGGUCCAAUUGCGGGUAGCAGCAAUGGAGAUGAAGAGGUGGCUACUGAAGGAUGAGUAGAUGACCCACAGGAAGAGAAGGAAACACAGGUUAUGAUGUGAGGGUUUAUGUUUGAACCUUGCCAAGCAGGAGCCCCUGGGGCUGAGGGUGAUGGCUUGGAGGACACUCAGCAGGCAGGUGGCACAGAUGGAGAAGCCCCUCAUCAACCUGUACAGGUAGAUGAGCCAUUUACACGUCAGGUCAUCCCACCUGCCCCCCUGAGGUAUAAAAAUGUCCGAAGCUAUGAAGCCAUUGAUGAGCAGAAUUACCAGGUGGAUUAGGGCCAGGAGACCAAUGGGCAGGUCAGAGGGCUUAGGUCUGUGCCCAGUAAUGUGCAAGGAGAUGUGGACCAGAAGAAGAAGGGCGUUGGCCAUGACCCCAACGCCAGUCACGGUGUACACGGUGUUUCUUAUGUGAAUGUUACUGUACAGUCUGUUGGCUUUGUUCAUCUUACAAGGGAAAGAAAAAUAUUGUGACCACAGUAACUCACAAAAAUGUCUUUUUUUUUUUUUUUUUGCAAAUCUGACCUCCUUUAUCAAUCUCAAAUGAACACCACUUCCAUGAAGAAAAAAAGAAGAUUCAUCCAACUGUAUUUUUAUUCCACAUGAAAAUUCAGUUCUGGUGCUGGGCACAGUGGUGUCUGCCUGAAAUCCCAGUGACCCCACACACUGAGGCAGGAGGAUCACAAGGGUGAAGCCAAUCUGGGCGUCUUAGUGAGACCCUGUUUCAAAAUAGAGAGUCAAAAGGACCAGGUGUAACUUUGCUGGUGCACUUACCCACCAAGCAGCCCCCAGCACAAAAUUUAAAAAAAACACCAAACUAUGUUCUAUUCACACCCUGGAGAACGCAUCUCCACACACCGCCUUCUCUCAGUACCUUCCAAUCUCACUGGGACCUCCACAGCGUCAUAUAUAUUGAUACUUCAGUUUUCUUGUACAUUAAGAAUUGUCAGCCAGGUGCCGUGGUGCACUCAUGUAAUCCCAGUGGCUCAGGAGGCUGAGAUGGGACAAUGGCAAGUUCAAUGCUGACGUCACCAAGUUAGCAAGGACCUAAGCAACUUCCUGAGACCCUGUUGUCUCAAAAUGAAAAAUAAAAAGUGUCAGGGAUUUUUUUAAAAUGGGGUCAUGUCAUGGCUCAAAAGAAUAUAUUUCCUUCCUAUUACCUCAUGUCUGAGGUUGUCUGGGGCAAGACAGGAACUUACUUGAUUUGCCUUUUCCUGAUCUUGUUGGUCAGUUGCAUAAUAGGAGGUCUACAAAUUGGGCCAAAUUUCAGGGGGGUUGAUUGCAAGAAACUGGAAGUAAGGCCCUCCCAAACAUGAGUGUCCACAGACUAGACCUGCAUGGAGUUACUUCAUAUCUGCACCAUUUUAACUCUGGUUUAUUUCCCACCAGACCAAAUGUUUGUAAUAUAUAAACAAGAAAAUAUUGGUGUGAACUCAGAUGUCGGACUGGUUGAAGUUGCAAGUUGGAGCUACCAUUUACAAUAGCUUCUUCUUAAGCACCCUAGGAUGCUGAGGUCCAGUCAUCUCAAUUGUCCACAUAAAGAGUCCUGUUAUGUGGAUCCUGCAGAGACUAUGUGGGAAAAAGUAAAGUGUGCCUACCAACCUUGGAAGUGUUCGUGGCACAUAAUGAGCUCUCCAGAAAUGUUGGCUUCUAAUCUUAUUAUCAUACAGUUCUUCAUGCACAAGACUUGGGAGAAUCAAUGCAGCUCUUUUAAUAACAGAUCAGAUGUGUCCCUGCCUGAAAAGAAAGAGAAGAAAGAAAUUACGGCAGGACGUGGGGGUGCACGCCUGUAAUCCCAGCAGGUCAGGAGCCUGAGGCAGGAGGAUGUGAGUUCAAAGCCAGCCUCAGCCACUUACACAGGCUCUGAGCAACUCAGCAAGACCCUGUGUCUAAAUAAAAUAUAAAAAUAGGGUGGAGAUGUGUCUCAGUGGUUAAUUGCUCCUGUGUUCAAAUUGCAGUAAAAAAAAUAGAAAAACCAACAUAGUAGAACAUUUGCACUAUUCUGUUCUGAGGACUCGAAACUUUAUGUCUGUCCUUGGAAUCCCCUGAGGUGGCUACACAUGUCACAUUGCUGUUAAUCCUCUAUCCAGAAUAACUAGCCUAUGUUAGAACAUUCUGGAACUAUUGCCAAGAGCAUAGUUAUUUUUUCCUUUUCAAGACUUUACAAUCAGAGUAGUAAAUAGAACUACAUUUAAAACAGACUUGGUGCUAUUUUAAAACAGAGUUGGUGUUUCAAGGUUUUAAUUAAAGGACACGUGUCCAGCCCAUUCCUGAAAGACAAACUCCAAGAUGUUAUCUCUAUUACAAGUUCAAGGUGACAUUUUUCUGGAAUCAAAUGCCCAAGACUGAAAUUUAUGCUGGAAGAUUUGUUGAAUGAUCUGCUAGAACAAUAUUUCUUGGAGAGUGUGUGCAAUGCUUUUUUAGGUUUCGUACAUGAGUAAGAAUAUGCAGUGUUUGUCUAAAAGGGAAAUUCUCUACACCAUUAGGGGAAAAAGUUCUUCUUUUCCCAAAUGUGGUGAUCAGGAAAAAUAAAAUUUUAUUCUUUCCCUUGUUCAGUAUAUUCAGGUUUGCUACCAUAACAAGCCCAGAAAUGACACUAGGAAGAUCUUCCACAAGGCACAUAUGAUCACAGCACAGAUGUUAUUCCCUGACAUCUUUAUACAUAAAAUUACAUACAUCUGUUCUUAUAACAACUGUUUCAUGUAGGUAACAUAUAUACUGAUGAAGCUUUAAAGAAUAACAUAAACAUCUGUGUUUAAAUAUGAUGGUUUAUGUACAACAUUUUAAAAUAAAAAUUUUAAAUUUUAGUUCUAAAAUUGUGUUCUGUUAUACCAUUUGUGUGAAAUGGAGACUUUGCUUUUAUUGUGUUUAAUACAUGUUAAAACAUGUGCAAGGCAAGCACCCAGCAUUGUAAAAUCCUUUCAGUAACAUGUUUAAAUCACCUGCAAAUCAGACCAUUCAAGGACACGAUUUUCAAUCUUAUUUCAAAAUAUGUAGUCGUGCAAACAUGAAAGUUUUGGAAAAGUAGGAAUGAGAAGAAGUCAGGAGUUUUCAAAAAUAUUCAGAAAUUAAGACCCCAGUUCAUUGUUGCUUUAAAAUGACCAGAAAGUCUUAUUUGUCUGAAGGCAAAACUGCACAGUAGCAGCAUGAAAAAAUGAGUCUCCUUUCUCCAGAGCAUGAAGGAAUGUUAGCAAACACUUUCAACGACAAAAACAGUGUAGACCCAGGAGCAAUUAUAUAUUUCUGAAUCUAUCCAGCUGUAACCAAAGAGUUUAUUUUUCCUACCAGAAACUGAACCCAGGACUCCUCAACCACUGAUACACAGCCCGAGCCCCAUCCUCUUUUUUAUUUUGAGACAGGGUCUCACUAAGUUGCCCAGGGCCUUGCUAAUUUCCUGAGGUUGGCUUUGAAUUCACAAUCCUCCUGCCUCAGCCUCCUAUACCCUGGGAUUCCCGUGCCCAUCCUCCAUCUAAAUUUCAGAUCACAUCAUAAUGUAUCAGCAAAUCAUACAUCCAAUACAGAAUACUGAUUUCACUUAAAUAUCAUACAAUAUGUAAGUGAUUUUUAAAAGUAUGUAGCUACAUCUGUGUUAAUCGCUCAUUGACAUUAGAAUUUGUUCUGGUGAAUAAGAACCCUUUAUAAAAAUGAGCUAAAAGAAAUUGUCCAGCGUGUCCUCUCCCAGCCAUCGCAUCUGCCACUCACACCUGUCUAGCACAGAAGAGCCCAGAGGCUCAGGACCAGGAUAAAACUUUCUGCUUCCCUGCAGGGUAAUCAAGGGGCCUCCUAACCUGUGGCUCUUAGCAAUAUGAUGGUAUUCGGUUAACACACUUUUCAAAGCAAACUACAUUAGAAAGACUGCACCUUUCAUAGAGAGGGACAUAAGUCACAGGGGAAGUAACGUGGCCCAGGUGCAGUGGUGCACACCUGUAAUCCCAGCAGUUUGGGAGGCUGAGACAGUAGGAUCACAAGAUGAGGCCAGCCUCAGCAACUUAAAGGGACCCUAAGCAUGUUAGGGAGACCCUGUGUCUAAAUAAAAUGUGAAAAGUUCUGGGGUUGUGGUUCAGGGGUCAAGCACUCCUGGAUUGCAUCCCUGGUACCAAAAUAAUAAUAAUACCAGCAGCAGCAAAGGAGCACACUUUGAUUCACGGUUGCUAUGUAGUUCAACUUUACCACAAUUCCCAUGGCUAAAGUAAGAUGGACAAGUGAAAUCUGGGAGGGAGACUCAUCUUGCUUUAAGUGGGUUAGGAUCUCAGGAAAAAUUGGGCAGGAAGUUCUUCUCUGUGGCAGAGAUGUAGCUGGGAAACUCUGAAGAGCACUAGGGAGAAACAGCUUGCACAUCAGGGAGGGCACAGCCACCCACAGCCAGGUGCCCUGCCGGGUGCAGAGCCACUGUGACAUAUAUAAGGACCAAGAAGGAGAGAAUCCUGGAGAAUAUUUGGGUGAAUGAAUGGCAGCCAUUUCCAGAAAUUAAGGCUAAAAAUAAUCCAUUGUUACUGAAAUUUGGAAGGAUUUAUGAACAGCUCAGGGUUCACACUUACAGAUAGACCCUAAGAAUAUCUUAAAGUCUGUAUUCAGAAUCAUUAAAAGAAAAAUUAGUCUUCUAACAACAGUAGGGAACUGCAAAUUAGAUUCAUCACAGACCCUAAGCUGUCAUCACUGGGAAACCCAAACUUACCUACCUGCAGGAGGAUCUGUGGCCCUGAUGAGGUGAGUCAAGUCCGGUUUGCUUUAGGAAGAAGAAAAGCUCACUUUUUUUCUAUAAGUGAAUUUGCAUGAACUAGGACCUGAAAAUACACACCAGGACAAAAUGAGUUUAGGAUGUGGGGAAAAGGCACAAUCAUACAUUGCUGGUGGACUGCAAAUUAGUGCAGCCAAUCUGGAAAGCAGUAUGGGAAUCCUUGGAAAUCUGGGAAUGGAACCACCAUUUGACCCAGCUAUCCCUGUCCUCGGUCUAUACCCAAAGGACUUAAAAACAGCACACUUUAGGGACACAGCCACAUCAGUGUUUAUAGCAGCACAAUUCACAAUAGCUAAACUGGAGCCAACCUAGAUGCCCUUCAGUGGAUGAAUGGAUAAAAAAAUGUGGCAUAUAUAAUCAAAGGCCUUUCAGACACUUUCAUUAUUAGGAAAAGGGCAAAGAGAACUUUUAAGUGAAUAAUGAAAAGAAAGAAGAUUAAUGGACACAAAUAGUCUUCUUAUCUAGCUAUGGACAAUUCUAUUACCUUGUCAUUGGGGAAGGAGAAGGACACCACAAUCAGAUUCACUGGUCUUUUCCUGGGAUGGUGACACAGGACCACUGUCCUCUCACUUGAAAUUUGCUCAUGGGCAGAGCACCCACUAUGAAGUGGCACCAUUCAUUUCUAAAUUGUGUUAUUAUAUGUAAUAAAAGAAACAUUGUAUGGGAAAGUUUGAUAGAUGCCUGUGGCCAUUGAGGUUGCCCUCAUUACCUUCUGGGCUAUAUAAAAUUAUGGUUUUUAAUUCCUCAGAGUCUAGUAGUCAGAGAUCAGUAAUAUUCUAUUUGUCCAGGAAGGUGAGAAAAGGAAACCUGAGCAUAUUUAGUAUAAAGCAGGCAGGCAACUUAUUACAUCCCUGAUUAUUGGUUUAGGAGUAAAUAGCAUAUCAAACAUGGAAACGCACAUGUAACAUGAGCACUGCUAUAGUUGCUAGAAGAAAAUUAAACAGAAGCCUGAGAUAAUCAGCACUUCCUAUCAAAAAUAGCACCUAACUUUCUGUGUCUCAAAGGAUGACGCAACCUAGGAAGAUCUCCUUCCUCAUAUUUCACAGAGCACCUUAGUCUUCUUAAAUAUAGGGGUGAGAGCUGGGUGUCUCAAGCUACCAAAAACCUCACUCCUAGACCCAGUUUGCCCCUUGCAACCUCCUCCUACAAGCUUCAGGUACUUACUAUCUCUGUGGAACAGAGAGGCACUUACCUGGAUGGAUGCGGAGCACUUGGUGCACCUGAGCAUAACCUGCAUGGUUCUAAGGAAAAGAGGCUGUGAGCUCAUCUCUCUGCAGCCUGCAAUUUUAGUGUCUCUACUAAGGUGACAAGAUCCCACUGGGGAGCACAGAACUAUGGAGUCCCCAGUGGAACAUUUCGCUUAGUCCCCUUGAUUUGAUUUUGUUCUGGAUAACAACCAUCUGGGGAGAGGUGCUCAAAAUUUCCUAUGAGUUCCCUUGACAAAAAAAAGUGUGUCCCAAUCUUGUAGACAACUCCAAGUUCUCUUACUUGGAUUCAAAGUUCAAAUUAACCCAUACCCUUUCCACAUGUUAUGAUGCCUGGAUUCUGGGGAUGAGAGGUCCCUAGAUCCUCCUGAGGCUCUGUAGAUCCUCUCCCUGUGACGUCUGAUGGAUGCCCUCUUCUCCACUCCAUUUUCAUGGGGACCACCUGGUUUCCUGACAUUGAGGGAGGGGAAGGGAAUGGGUAUGAGGUUAUAAAUGAUGGUGGAAUGUGAUGGACAUUAUUUUCCAAAAUACAUGUAUAAAGACACAAUUUGGUGUGAAUAUACUUUGUAUACAACCAGAGAUAUGAAAAAUUGUGCUGUAUAUGUAUAAUAAGAAUUGAAAUGCAUUCCGCUGUCAUAUAUAAAUAAAAAAUAAUAAAUAUUUAUUUUUUAAUUGCAGUUGGACUCCAUACCUUUAUUUUUAUUAAUUUUUAUGUGGU